This 621-nucleotide ribosomal RNA is filed under the name uncultured bacterium. RNAcentral's name for it is "bacterial SSU rRNA". It matches the Rfam family "Bacterial small subunit ribosomal RNA", at positions 338 to 1533 of the family's 1533-position model. The record is from RNAcentral.
CCUACGGGAGGCAGCAGUGGGGAAUUUUGGACAAUGGGCGAAAGCCUGAUCCAGCAAUGCCGCGUGUGGGAAGAAGGCCUUCGGGUUGUAAACCGACUUUUGUACGGAACGAAACGGUUCGCUUUAAUACAGUGGGCUAAUGACGGUACCGUAAGAAUAAGCACCGGCUAACUACGUGCCAGCAGCCGCGGUAAUACGUAGGGUGCGAGCGUUAAUCGGAAUUACUGGGCGUAAAGCGUGCGCAGGCGGUUUUAUAAGACAGUUGUGAAAUCCCCGGGCUCAACCUGGGAAUUGCAUCUGUGACUGUAUAGCUAGAGUACGGUAGAGGGGAUGGAAUUCCGCGUGUAGCAGUGAAAUGCGUAGAUAUGCGGAGGAACACCGAUGGCGAAGGCAAUCCCCUGGACCUGUACUGACGCUCAUGCACGAAAGCGUGGGGAGCAAACAGGAUUAGGAUACCCUGGUAGUCCACGCCCUAAACCGAUGUCAACUGGUUGUUGGGUGUCAUAGUACUCUAGUAACGUAAGACUACGACGUGUAGUGACGCGNGGAGACGCGCGAGUAGUAACGUACGAAUUAGAGUAGUUAGNGUGNGAGNGCGACGGACGACGACGAGGGAGGAGG